RNAcentral lists this ribosomal RNA (1217 nucleotides) under Staphylococcus warneri. RNAcentral's name for it is "bacterial SSU rRNA". It matches the Rfam family "Bacterial small subunit ribosomal RNA", at positions 56 to 1254 of the family's 1533-position model. Lineage: Bacteria; Bacillati; Bacillota; Bacilli; Caryophanales; Staphylococcaceae. The record is from RNAcentral.
UGCAAGUCGAGCGAACAGAUAAGGAGCUUGCUCCUUUGACGUUAGCGGCGGACGGGUGAGUAACACGUGGAUAACCUACCUAUAAGACUGGGAUAACUUCGGGAAACCGGAGCUAAUACCGGAUAACAUAUUGAACCGCAUGGUUCAAUAGUGAAAGGCGGCUUUGCUGUCACUUAUAGAUGGAUCCGCGCCGUAUUAGCUAGUUGGUAAGGUAACGGCUUACCAAGGCAACGAUACGUAGCCGACCUGAGAGGGUGAUCGGCCACACUGGAACUGAGACACGGUCCAGACUCCUACGGGAGGCAGCAGUAGGGAAUCUUCCGCAAUGGGCGAAAGCCUGACGGAGCAACGCCGCGUGAGUGAUGAAGGUCUUCGGAUCGUAAAACUCUGUUAUCAGGGAAGAACAAAUGUGUAAGUAACUGUGCACAUCUUGACGGUACCUGAUCAGAAAGCCACGGCUAACUACGUGCCAGCAGCCGCGGUAAUACGUAGGUGGCAAGCGUUAUCCGGAAUUAUUGGGCGUAAAGCGCGCGUAGGCGGUUUUUUAAGUCUGAUGUGAAAGCCCACGGCUCAACCGUGGAGGGUCAUUGGAAACUGGAAAACUUGAGUGCAGAAGAGGAAAGUGGAAUUCCAUGUGUAGCGGUGAAAUGCGCAGAGAUAUGGAGGAACACCAGUGGCGAAGGCGACUUUCUGGUCUGUAACUGACGCUGAUGUGCGAAAGCGUGGGGAUCAAACAGGAUUAGAUACCCUGGUAGUCCACGCCGUAAACGAUGAGUGCUAAGUGUUAGGGGGUUUCCGCCCCUUAGUGCUGCAGCUAACGCAUUAAGCACUCCGCCUGGGGAGUACGACCGCAAGGUUGAAACUCAAAGGAAUUGACGGGGACCCGCACAAGCGGUGGAGCAUGUGGUUUAAUUCGAAGCAACGCGAAGAACCUUACCAAAUCUUGACAUCCUUUGACCGCUCUAGAGAUAGAGUCUUCCCCUUCGGGGGACAAAGUGACAGGUGGUGCAUGGUUGUCGUCAGCUCGUGUCGUGAGAUGUUGGGUUAAGUCCCGCAACGAGCGCAACCCUUAAGCUUAGUUGCCAUCAUUAAGUUGGGCACUCUAAGUUGACUGCCGGUGACAAACCGGAGGAAGGUGGGGAUGACGUCAAAUCAUCAUGCCCCUUAUGAUUUGGGCUACACACGUGCUACAAUGGACAAUACAAAGGGCAGCUAAA